AACGAACGCUGGCGGCAUGCCUAACACAUGCAAGUCGAACGAGACCUUCGGGUCUAGUUGCGCACGGGUGCGUAACGCGUGGGAACCUGCCCUUAGGUUCGGAAUAACUCCCCGAAAGGGGUGCUAAUACCGGAUAAUGUCUUCGGACCAAAGAUUUAUCGCCUUUGGAUGGGCCCGCGUUGGAUUAGCUAGUUGGUAGGGUAAAAGCCUACCAAGGCGACGAUCCAUAGCUGGUCUGAGAGGAUGAUUAGCCACACUGGGACUGAGACACGGCCCAGACUCCUACGGGAGGCAGCAGUGGGGAAUAUUGGACAAUGGGCGAAAGCCUGAUCCAGCAAUGCCGCGUGAGUGAUGAAGGCCUUAGGGUUGUAAAGCUCUUUUACCCGGGAUGAUAAUGACAGUACCGGGAGAAUAAGCUCCGGCUAACUCCGUG
RNAcentral lists this ribosomal RNA (433 nucleotides) under uncultured bacterium. Its description in RNAcentral is "partial 16S ribosomal RNA". It matches the Rfam family "Bacterial small subunit ribosomal RNA", at positions 29 to 507 of the family's 1533-position model. The record is from RNAcentral.